Molecule: transfer RNA, 76 nt
Filed under: Alphaproteobacteria bacterium
Lineage: Bacteria; Pseudomonadati; Pseudomonadota; Alphaproteobacteria
Also listed under: 2 other names
Description: tRNA-Lys
Rfam family: tRNA
About the family: Transfer RNA (tRNA) molecules are approximately 80 nucleotides in length.
Source: RNAcentral
GAUCCGGUAGCUCAGUCGGUAGAGCACCUGACUUUUAAUCAGGUUGUCGCGGGUUCGAUUCCCGCCCGGAUCACCA